Molecule: long non-coding RNA, 209 nt
Organism: Onychostruthus taczanowskii (white-rumped snowfinch)
Lineage: Eukaryota; Metazoa; Chordata; Aves; Passeriformes; Passeridae
Exons: 3
Source: RefSeq, a predicted model, not a curated record
GGACGCGGCGGGGGCGGCGCUGCUGGAGCUGCUGGGGGCGCUGCUGCGGCGCCGGCGCGGCCCCCGCGGCCUGCAGGAGCUCUUUGCCCACCUGGGGCCCUGGAUCCGUUCCCCGCGGGGCGCGGAGCGGGAGCGCGCCCUGGGCCUGAGCCGAGCGCUGCUGGGAUCCUUCCUCGGCGAGCUGCACGUCAGCUCCCUGACCCCGUUCC